This 423-nucleotide long non-coding RNA is filed under the name Mus pahari (shrew mouse). RNAcentral's name for it is "lncRNA (MGP_PahariEiJ_G0005819.1)". The record is from RNAcentral. Lineage: Eukaryota; Metazoa; Chordata; Mammalia; Rodentia; Muridae.
CACACGGGAUGUUUGAAGAAGCCUUCUGGCAGCCACUUCGUUUUCUCUUCUCCCUAAUCUGCUUCCUUCCUGAGUUAGCUCUCUCGCCCGCGGCUUAUCAACUUCCUGUGUUGCAUGAUCCAGGUUUCUGUCUCUUUAUGCUUCCACAUCAUGGAAGCAAAAGAGCCUAUUUUGGAGAGGGAGACUGGCAAGACAGGGCAGUCUGUCCCCACCUCUCUCCUGCCUAGUGCUCAGCGCUCUCCCUGGCUACCACUUCAGGCCUGUAAUGAUGUUUGUUUCUAGUCACUUUAUGGCUGUGCUGCUGCAAUUUUAGGGCCUUUUGAGCUGAAUGGCAGGAUAGCUUCCUCAGUCAUGGACUGUUCUAAAAGGACUGAAUCAUUAAACCACAGUUGGCUUCCUCCUGCAUUCAUCUUCCGCUGUCUG